GGAGAUUUAGCUCAGUGGCAUAAGCGCCUGCCUUGCAAGCAGGCAGUCAUGAGCUCAUAGUAGCCA
Molecule: transfer RNA, 66 nt
Filed under: Cavia porcellus (domestic guinea pig)
Lineage: Eukaryota; Metazoa; Chordata; Mammalia; Rodentia; Caviidae
Rfam family: tRNA
About the family: Transfer RNA (tRNA) molecules are approximately 80 nucleotides in length. Their secondary structure includes four short double-helical elements and three loops (D, anti-codon, and T loops).
Source: Rfam by way of RNAcentral